Deltaproteobacteria bacterium 13_1_40CM_4_68_19 is the source of this 84-nucleotide non-coding RNA. The record is from Rfam. Lineage: Bacteria; Deltaproteobacteria.
GCCCGGGUGGCGGAACGGUAGACGCGGAGCGCUUAAAACGCCCUGAGCCAAAAGCUCGUGCCGGUUCGAGUCCGGCCCCGGGUA